Molecule: ribosomal RNA, 497 nt
Filed under: uncultured bacterium
Lineage: Bacteria
Description: partial 16S ribosomal RNA
Rfam family: Bacterial small subunit ribosomal RNA
Source: RNAcentral
GAUGAACGCUGGCGGCGUGCCUAAUACAUGCAAGUCGAGCGAACGGACGGGAAGCUUGCUUUUCUGAUGUUAGCGGCGGACGAGUGAGUAACACGUGGAUAACCUACCUAUAAUACUGGGAUAACUUCGGGAAACCGGAGCUAAUACCGGAUAAUAUUUUGAACCGCAUGGUUCAAAAGUGAAAGACGGUCUUGCUGUCACUUAUAGAUGGAUCCGCGCUGCAUUAGCUAGUUGGUAAGGUAACGGCUUACCAAGGCAACGAUGCAUAGCCGACCUGAGAGGGUGAUCGGCCACACUGGAACUGAGACACGGUCCAGACUCCUACGGGAGGCAGCAGUAGGGAAUCUUCCGCAAUGGGCGAAAGCCUGACGGAGCAACGCCGCGUGAGUGAUGAAGGUCUUCGGAUCGUAAAACUCUGUUAUUAGGGAAGAACAUAUGUGUAAGUAACUGUGCACAUCUUGACGGUACCUAAUCAGAAAGCAACGGCUAACUACGUG